This 253-nucleotide ribosomal RNA is filed under the name uncultured bacterium. RNAcentral's name for it is "partial 16S ribosomal RNA". It matches the Rfam family "Bacterial small subunit ribosomal RNA", at positions 524 to 776 of the family's 1533-position model. The record is from RNAcentral.
UACGAAGGGGGCUAGCGUUGCUCGGAAUCACUGGGCGUAAAGCGCACGUAGGCGGCUUUUUAAGUCAGGGGUGAAAUCCUGGAGCUCAACUCCAGAACUGCCUUUGAUACUGAGAGUCUUGAGUUCGGGAGAGGUGAGUGGAACUGCGAGUGUAGAGGUGAAAUUCGUAGAUAUUCGCAAGAACACCAGUGGCGAAGGCGGCUCACUGGCCCGAUACUGACGCUGAGGCACGAAAGCGUGGGGAGCAAACAGG